Molecule: ribosomal RNA, 3409 nt
Filed under: Candidatus Propionivibrio dominans
Lineage: Bacteria; Pseudomonadati; Pseudomonadota; Betaproteobacteria; Rhodocyclales; Rhodocyclaceae
Description: 23S ribosomal RNA
Rfam family: Bacterial large subunit ribosomal RNA
Source: RNAcentral
GAUCAAGCGAAUAAGUGCAUGUGGUGGAUGCCUUGGCGAUUACAGGCGAAGAAGGACGUGCAAGCCUGCGAAAAGCUCUGGGGAGCUGGCAAUGAAGCUUUGAUCCAGAGAUAUCCGAAUGGGGAAACCCACUCCGCAAGGAGUAUCCCAUCCUGAAUACAUAGGGAUGAGGAAGCGAACCCGGUGAACUGAAACAUCUAAGUAGCCGGAGGAAAAGAAAUCAACCGAGAUUCCCAAAGUAGUGGCGAGCGAAAUGGGAACAGCCUGCAAGUAAUAAUCAAACUGUUAGCGGAAGCCUCUGGAAAGUGGCGCCGUAGUGGGUGAAAGCCCCGUACGCGAAAACGGAUUGGUGGUACUAAGCUUGCGACAAGUAGGGCGGGGCACGAGAAACCUUGUCUGAACAUGGGGGGACCAUCCUCCAAGGCUAAAUACUCGUAAUCGACCGAUAGUGAACCAGUACCGUGAGGGAAAGGCGAAAAGAACCCCGGGAGGGGAGGAAAUAGAUCCUGAAACCGCAUGCAUACAAACAGUGGGAGCCCCUUCGUGGGGUGACUGCGUACCUUUUGUAUAAUGGGUCAGCGACUUACGUUCAGUAGCGAGCUUAACCGAAUAGGGGAGGCGUAGGGAAACCGAGUCUGAUAAGGGCGCCUAGUUGCUGGACGUGACCCGAAACCAAGUGAUCUAUCCAUGGCCAGGAUGAAGGUGCGGUAACACGCACUGGAGGUCCGAAACCCACUAAUGUUGAAAAAUUAGGGGAUGAGCUGUGGAUAGGGGUGAAAGGCUAAACAAACUUGGAAAUAGCUGGUUCUCUCCGAAAACUAUUUAGGUAGUGCCUCACGUAUCACCUUCGGGGGUAGAGCACUGUUAUGGCUAGGGGGUCAUCGCGACUUACCAAACCAUUGCAAACUCCGAAUACCGAAGAGUGCGAGCGUGGGAGACAGACAUCGGGUGCUAACGUCCGGUGUCGAGAGGGAAACAACCCAGACCGCCGAUUAAGGUCCCCAAGACAUAGUUAAGUGGGAAACGAGGUGGGAAGGCUCAGACAGCCAGGAGGUUGGCUUAGAAGCAGCCAUCCUUUAAAGAAAGCGUAAUAGCUCACUGGUCGAGUCGUCCUGCGCGGAAGAUGUAACGGGGCUCAAACUAUGCACCGAAAUCGCGGGUCAGAGGACAGAAGACAGAUGACAGAAGACAGAUUUCAGACGACAGAAGACGGAAGACAGAGGACAGAUAUGAACGAACCCACCAUACGGGAUGUAGAAGAUUUGACGGUCUAUGGAAAAGCGUAUGCCGUUUCAUUGGAAAUACAUCGUGCCAGUUUGGCGUUCCCCAAAAUUGAACAAUAUGCGUUGGCUGACCAAAUGCGUCGAGCCAGCAAGAGCGUAUGUGCGAAUUUGGCGGAAGGCUUUGGCAAACAAAGCAUCUCAAAACCGGAAUUCAAGCGCUAUGUACUGAUGGCGAUGGGUUCGGCCGAUGAAAUGCGCGUAUGGGUAAGAUACAGUCAGGAUUUAGGUUACAUCUCGGGCAAACAAGCCGAUGUUUGGCGUAAUGAAUACCAGACCAUCGCGAAAAUGCUCAAUGGCCUGCAUGCCAAAUGGGGAUAACCGAAAUUCAUGCACUGCACGGUAGUUUGUUUUUAUCUGUCCUCUGUCUUCCGUCCUCUGUCCUCUGAACUGUCCUCAGUCCUCUGUCUUCUGUCCUCUGACGGUAGGAGAGCGUUCUGUAGGCCGUUGAAGGUGUCUGGUAACGGAUGCUGGAGGUAUCAGAAGUGCGAAUGCUGACAUAAGUAGCGAUAAAGGGCGUGAAAGCGCCCUCGCCGAAAGCCUGAAGGUUUCCUGCGCAACGUUCAUCGGCGCAGGGUGAGUCGGCCCCUAAGGCGAGGCAGAAAUGCGUAGUCGAUGGGAAACAGGUUAAUAGUCCUGUACCUCUUUGUAAUGCGAUGGGGGGACGGAGAAGGUUAGGUCAGCCGGGUGUUGGACGUCCCGGUUCAAGCGUGUAGUCGUGCCUGGUAGGCAAAUCCGCCGGGCUUAGAUGAGGCGUGAUAACGAGUGGUCUUGUACCGCGAAGUGAUUGAUACCCUGCUUCCAAGAAAAGCCUCUAAGCUUCAGUUAUGAAGAGACCGUACCGCAAACCGACACAGGUGGGCAGGAUGAGAAUUCUAAGGCGCUUGAGAGAACUCAGGAGAAGGAACUCGGCAAAUUAGCACCGUAACUUCGGGAUAAGGUGCGCCCUGGUAGAUUGAAGGCCCUCGCGGCUGGAGGUCGAAAGGGUUGCAGUGAAAUGGUGGCUGCGACUGUUUAAUAAAAACACAGCACUCUGCAAACACGAAAGUGGACGCAUAGGGUGUGACGCCUGCCCGGUGCCGGAAGGUUAAGUGAUGGGGUGCAAGCUCUUGAUCGAAGCCCCGGUAAACGGCGGCCGUAACUAUAACGGUCCUAAGGUAGCGAAAUUCCUUGUCGGGUAAGUUCCGACCUGCACGAAUGGCGUAACGAUGGCCACACUGUCUCCUCCUGAGACUCAGCGAAGUUGAAAUGUUUGUGAAGAUGCAAUCUCCCCGCGGCAAGACGGAAAGACCCCAUGAACCUUUACUGUAGCUUUGCAUUGGACUUUGAACCGGUCUGUGUAGGAUAGGUGGGAGGCUUUGAAGCGUGGACGCUAGUUCGCGUGGAGCCAACCUUGAAAUACCACCCUGGUUUGUUUGAGGUUCUAACCAUGGCCCGUGAAUCCGGGUCUGGGACCGUGCAUGGUAGGCAGUUUGACUGGGGCGGUCUCCUCCCAAAGCGUAACGGAGGAGUACGAAGGUACGCUAGGUACGGUCGGACAUCGUGCUAAUAGUGCAAUGGCAUAAGCGUGCUUGACUGCGAGACUCACACGUCGAGCAGGUACGAAAGUAGGUCAUAGUGAUCCGGUGGUUCUGUAUGGAAGGGCCAUCGCUCAACGGAUAAAGGUACUCUGGGGAUAACAGGCUUAUACCGCCCAAGAGUUCAUAUCGACGGCGGUGUUUGGCACCUCGAUGUCGGCUCAUCACAUCCUGGGGCUGUAGCCGGUCCCAAGGGUAUGGCUGUUCGCCAUUUAAAGUGGUACGUGAGCUGGGUUUAAAACGUCGUGAGACAGUUUGGUCCCUAUCUGCCGUGGGCGCUGGAAAUUUGAAGGACCUGCUCCUAGUACAAGAGGACCGGAGUGGACGAACCUCUGGUAUACCGGUUAUGACGCCAGUCGUAUCGCCGGGUAGCUAAGUUCGGAAGAGAUAAACGCUGAAAGCAUCUAAGCGUGAAACUCGCCUUAAGAUAAGAUUUCCUGGGGACUCGAUCCCCUGAAGGGUCGUCGAAGACCACGACGUUGAUAGGCUGGGUGUGGAAGCGCAGUAAUGCGUUAAGCUAACCAGUACUAAUUGCCCGUGCGGCUUGAUCCU